GCGGCUUGCCUGUAGUCGGAUACCUCCCAUUUCUCGGAACUACUGACUUGCACAAGAAAUUCACGGAAUUAUCCGGAGUUUAUGGUCCGAUCUUCAAGCUCUGGCUCGGAAAUAAAUUAUGUGUAGUGGUGAGCUCACCUUCCCUAGUUAAACAAGUGGUUCGUGAUCAAGAUACAACAUUCGCAUACCGUGACCCGCCGAUCGCUGGACUAGUGGCCACCUUUGGUGGCAAUGAUAUUGCAUGGUCCAAUUACGGUCCCGAAUGGAGAAAGUUGCGCAAAUUUUUUGUGGGCAAGAUGAUGAGUAACGCAAGCCUUGAUGCUUGUUAUGCUCUAAGAAAACAAGAGGUUAAAAAUACUAUCAGGGAUUUGUAUAACAACAACAACAAAAUUUGCAAGCCCAUUGACAUUGGUGAAUUGUCGAUUUCAACACUGGUAUGUGCUAUGCAGAACAUGCUGUGGGGUGAAGCGCUUGAAUUAAAAGAGAAAGGGACCACUAUUCUUGGGGUUGAGCUAAAAUUUAAGCUUGCAGAACUCAUGGUGCUACUGGGAACACCGAAUAUUUCGGAUAUCUUUCCAAUGCUUUCAUGGCUCGACAUACAAGGUAUAGAGAGGAGAGCAAAGAAGAUUUCACUCUGGUUUGAAAAUAUUAUAAAUUCUACUGUUGAAAAGUAUAGAAGCAAGGACUUUAAUGUUGAAGGUAAAGAAAGAGCAGGGGAAAAUUUUGAAGGAUCAAGGAACAAGAACUUCUUGCAGUUACUAUUGGAGCUUCAAGAAAAUGAAGACGGUUCUUCCUCAAUUAGCAUGAACCAAUUUAAGGGCGUGCUCGCGGUAUGUUAAGCAACUAGCCACGAACAGUUGUAUAUUUGCAUGAGUGACGCUUUUCAACUUUUUUUAAUUUUUUAAAUUAAAGUUUUAUUGUAAUCUUUUGAACAGGAUAUAAUUACGGGUGGAACCGACACCACAACUACGAUGGUGGAAUGGACAAUGGCAGAGUUGAUGCAGCAUCCACAAGUCAUGAAGAAAGUUCAGGAAGAAUUAGCUCAAGUUGUGGGCAUGGACAGUUGUGUUGAAGAAUUUCAUUUGCCUAAAUUGAAAUAUUUAGAUGCUGUGGUGAAAGAAUCGUUUCGUCUGCAUCCUGCAUUGCCUUUAUUAGUACCACGCAGAGCAAGUGAGAGUGGCAGCAUUGGUGGCUAUACCAUUCCCAAAGAUACAACUCUUAUGUUGAAUGUUUGGGCUAUCCACAGGGACCCUCAACUUUGGGAUAAUCCCUUAGAAUUUCGACCCGAGAGGUUUCUGAAUGUUGGUGUCGAGAGUAAGUUCGAUUACUCAGGUAACAAUUUUCAGUACUUGCCAUUUGGUUCUGGUAGAAGGAUGUGUGCUGGGAUUCCUCUAGCUGAGAGGAUGCUGAUGUUUGUUCUGGCUUCGUUAUUGCACUCAUUUGAGUGGGAAUUGCCAGCUGGCACAAAGCUAAACUUAUCUGAAAAAUUUGGGAUUGUCAUUAAGAAAAAAGAGCCUUUGGUUGCUAUUCCAACACCAAGACUAUCCAAUUCAGAGCUCUACCAUUAAGACAAAAUGAUUGUGAUGAUUUUGUGAGUAUCGGAAGAUUUGUAUGUUAUUUCAAGUUCAAUCGUAAUAAAAUAUUUCAAUAAAAGUCCUCCGUUGCUAAUUUUUUUUUCAACGGCAUAAUCUGUCAUCAUGCUUGUGUUUGGAGCUACUUUGAAAUAAUUUUUGAAUUACAAUUUAUAAAUAUUUACAUUUUAAAAUUUUAUGAGAGUCUAAAUCUAUACACGUUCAAUAAAAAAUUUCCUAAAAGUUUUAGGAUUCAAAAUUCUAUUAAAGUAUAGAUGAAACUUUUAUACCUCCUAAUUUUUUGGUCUAUUCUACGAGUUUAAAGAGGAGAUAUUUCUAGAGCUAGUAAAAAGAGUUACCUGAUUGUUUUCGCGUUAUGUCAUUUUUUUAUUGUGUUAAAUUUAAUUUGACUCAAAUAUGACCCAUUUAAUAAUCGUGUCAAAAUAUUAAAACUUAAACUUGACACGGAAAAUAAUUGGGUGACCGGACAAACCCAUUUAAUAAUUAGGUAACUAUGUCACUUAAUACGACAUAACCCAAUAACUCGUUUAAUACAUAUUUAACAUAAUUUACAUUGUACAUUGUACAUUGUACACCAUUUUGUCAUAAAUUACACUAUUUUAUAUUUCUAAAUAAUAUUAUAUAUUGAUAUUGUAUAAAAAAAAAUCAAUAAUCUCAAAAUUUGUACACCUCCUAACUUUUAAAAAUAAAUAAAAAACUAAUUAAUUAAUGUUUAUUUUAUUCAUUAAUAUAUCAUAAUCCUACAUGUGUUUUAUUUGUUAUUUUUUUUAUUUAAAAAGAUAGGUAGGUGGAUGAAACUCAAAUAAAUUUUUAGCCUAUCUUGAUCUUUCAAGUUUCUUAUUUAGGUGGCCAGCUAAAGAAAAUUACUUAAAAACUACUCCAUCAAUUUAACAAAUUUUAUUUAUUUAUUUAAUGGAGGUGUAGAAAAUAAAAGUAUCUUCAAGCACAUUGCAAUAGUGAAAGCAAUGUACCGGUGUUGCAACAUAACUGAACCUUGAUAACCUAUCACAUAUUUUAAGUUUUAACAUUGGUAGUUCACGGAUCAGUUUCUACUUCCACGAACAAUUAUUGAAGGAAAUGAGUUUUUUUUUUUUAAUGAAUAUUUAUAGACCCCGAUUAAAUAUUCGAAUAUAUAAUAAAAGAGAAACUGACAUAGAAAUGAGAAAGAUAUUUGGAGGAGGCAAAAAAAAAAAAAAAUGCAACAGACAAUUAGAUCGGCAACACAAGUAACUAAUUAAUUCAUCUAUACAUCAUAAUCCUAUUUGUAUCUUCUUCCUUCUUCUAAUUUACAUAUAAAUUUGGUUAGAUAAAACAUAUUUUAAUACUCGGUCACAAUCGGUGGAUAUAGAAAAUUAAUUUAGAGGGGGUAAUACCAUAACGAAAAAUAAUGAUUCAUAAUUAAAAUCAACCCCAACAUCAAAACUUAUUUACAAGAUCACCCCCAGUCAAAGGUAAUUUUUCCUAAAAACUAAUACGAAAUUAAAUAAAUUUAACUUUUAGUGGGUUCAAUUGCCCACGCAUUCUGAACGUAGAUCCACCCCUGGCCCCGACUGAAGCAUUUUUUACAAUAUGUACUCUGUUUAUCAGCGGGAACAGCCUUCCACCUUAAAUUAAAAUUUUCACUUAAAAAUGAUUAAGGUUAAUGAGGUUAGUAACAAAAAUGAGUUUAAUUAGAGAAUAUUAUAAGAGAAAUUCUAUUUUUUGACUUUUAAUAAAUUAAGAUAUAUUAAAAUAUUAUUAGUUGGUGGUGGUUUCACGUCAAAUUAAGACGUGACACCUUACUUAUGAGGUGGAGACAAUCGGCUUAAACUAUUUUAAUGCAUUUGAAAUUUGCACUAAUGGCUAUCAUUCUUUGUCCAAAUUAAUACGAUAAUUAAUAACAUACAAAAGUCAAGAAAAUGAAAAUUUAUCCCAAUUAAAACACUUUCUGGCUGCAUUUGGCUGUUUCCAUUUGAAGUUAAAAACGACAACGUUUCUUUCGUUUUGUGGGCGAUUCGAUUGAGCAGGCGCCACUAGCUAGCUGGCUUCCAGUGCUAGUGUGUGACGAUAGAAGGCUAGUGAUUUCACUUUCACAUUUUUUUUUAUUAUUUUUUUUGGGGAAUCAAGAUAAAAGUCAAGAAAAUGAAAAUUGGGCUGUUUCCAUUUGAAGUUAAAAACAGCGUUUCUUUCGGGGCGUCAAUUUGAUAUUUGAAUGGACAGGCAAGUAAGAAAUACAUUUCCUUCAUAGAAAAUGACAACGAGGACAUCAAGCCACAUCAUUAUAGUUUGUAGCCCAUCUACAUUUAAACGAUUAAUAAACAAGCUUAGGUGUGCCACUGCUAUUAUUAAUUAUCCCCUGAUCAUUAUAGUUUCUGAAACAGUAAAACAAAACGAAAUUGAAUACAUCAACGAGACCGCAAUUAUCACUUGUUUAGUUGCGGUAUUUAACUUAAUUUUAAUCUAAUAUAUUUGUUAGUUAAACUUUUAAUAAUCAAAUAAUUUUGAUUUAAAAAUAAAAUUAUAGAAAUUAUUAAUUAUUAAAAAUUCACAAUUAAGGGAACGUUCAUCAAACACACAUAGCUAUUGUUUUCUCUAUAUAUUGCAGUGUGUACGAUAUUGAGGGUUGAAGCCCCAAGCAUGCUCUAAAAUCCAGAUAAUAAUUAGAUCCAUGCAAAAUAUUCAUCGUUGUAUCAGCUGAUCAGUUGGUGGUGAUGAAGGGUGUUAUUGGCGGAGCUCAAAGUUAUUAUGUGCAUGUUGGGUGGAUAUCUCUAUUGAAAAUAUCUCUGAUAUUUCACUCGACAAACUUGUUAAUAUAAAAAAAUCUAUGGUUUUGCCGUCUGCAUACUGUAGAAAAUUUUGUCUCUACGUUAAUCUAAAUGUUUGAGGUGAUUAGAAAUUGCCUACUAUAUAUAAAGGGAAAUAAUUUCUAGGUUGAUUGAUACAUCUCUAUUCAAAAUAUCUCUGACAUUUCACUCGACAAACUUAUUAAUAUAAAAAAUCUGUGGUUUUGCCGACUGAAUAAUGUAGAAAAAUUUGUCUAUGCAUUAAUCUAGAUGUUUGAGGUGAUUUAUACAUCUGUGGUAAAGAUUUAUAGGUUGACUUAUACGUCUGUGGUAUAGAUUUUAUGUAUGUCAUUACAAAAUGCUGGCCGUUAGAACCCUUUCUACAUCUAUUUAUAAGAUUAACGGGUGCCAGCUAUGCCAUUACAAAUUAUCCCCUCAUCAGAUAUUUCGUUAAAAUUCAUUCUGAAACACUAAAACUAAAUAAUCGAACAUGGCUUUGCGGGUCGAUGAUGCCAGCAGCAAUGAGACUGCAAUUAUCACUUGUUUAGUUUCUGUGCUUGCCGUGGUUUACUUCGCAUGGAAUGUGAAAAAAUCAAGGAAAGCAAAUGCUACACUGCCACCAGGACCUCGCGGCUUGCCUGUAUUCGGAUACCUCCCAUUUCUUGGAACUACUGACUUGCACAAGAAAUUCACGGAAUUAUCCGGAGUUUAUGGUCCGAUCUUCAAGCUUUGGCUUGGAAAUAAAUUAUGUGUAGUGGUGAGCUCACCUUCCCUAAUUAGACAAGUGGUUCGUGAUCAAGAUACAACAUUCGCGAACCGUGACCCACCGAAGGCUGCACUAGUGGUCUCCUAUGGUGGCAAUGAUAUUGCAUGGUCCAAUUACGGUCCCGAAUGGAGAAAGUUGCG
RNAcentral lists this long non-coding RNA (5260 nucleotides) under Citrus x clementina. RNAcentral's name for it is "Citrus clementina (C. clementina) long non-coding RNA (CCLE_LNC005230)". The record is from RNAcentral. Lineage: Eukaryota; Viridiplantae; Streptophyta; Magnoliopsida; Sapindales; Rutaceae.